RNAcentral lists this long non-coding RNA (204 nucleotides) under Danio rerio (zebrafish). Its description in RNAcentral is "si:dkeyp-87e7.7 (ENSDARG00000093850.2)". The record is from RNAcentral. Lineage: Eukaryota; Metazoa; Chordata; Actinopteri; Cypriniformes; Danionidae.
CAAAUCAAAGUCGCCUCAGAGCGCAAAAAGCAAGAUUUACAGAUUUCACAUUUAUUCAUCUCCACUCUGAAGAAACAUAAGCUUUCACCCAUCCAUCCCUCCUGACAAAAACAGCUGCCGUCACCGUCCAGGCCUUCAUCACACUUGCCGUGGAUCGUACAAUUACACGCUGUGAGAAAAAGAGGAGCAGCAAAAAAACAAGGU